GCUGCUUGAAAAUGUGUUUUCUACUUUGUUUCAGCAGUUCAGUGUGGUUGGUUUAUCUUUGUAACCGUCGUAAUGUAGAACCAGUGCAUGUUGGGAAACAGGAAGUAAAAUCACCAUGCGGUAGUUAGCUACAGGAAUGUGUGAGCUCUACCCGUCGUCAGUUUCUGAGUCGAUCGCUUUUCCUUCUCCCUUUUUGCUAAGGCAACGUCUUUUCACAAAAUUCCCCGUAAACUUCAUGGAAAUGAAUCAGCUGUGUCCUGGAGUUUCUUGGGAGUGUUUAAGCUGAAUGGAAAAUAGCCCAUAGCAGAAGCAAAAAAGAUUGACUGUGAGAUGACGCCUUUAAGUCCUUCAACACAGAGGAAGAGGCCAUCAGCGUCCUUGAGAAGAUGCUUGCGGCUUCUAACCUGAGGCUGCACAAAAUUGCUUCAAACCGACCAGCAUUCAUCGAAGCAUUCCCAUCCGAAGAUUGCGCCAAGGACGUCAACAGCCUAGAUCUCUUUUUUGAUGA
Molecule: long non-coding RNA, 508 nt
Organism: Esox lucius (northern pike)
Lineage: Eukaryota; Metazoa; Chordata; Actinopteri; Esociformes; Esocidae
Source: Ensembl